UUGGUAGAUCGUAGGGAUUGUCGCUGGCCUUUGGAAACGAAGGCAUGUGCACGUUCCGAGUUCUCCUUAGUCCUCCUUUGCCUUUCCUUUGGAAAACCCUUUCUUCACACCCGUGCACCCAUUGUAGGUCUCCGCGAGGGGAUCUAUGUCUUCACAUAAACACUACGUAUGUCUAGGAAUGUAUCUAAAAGCGUCGGACGGCUUGGCUUCGUGCCCGGUCGGCGACGGUAAAGAACCAUAAUACAACUUUCAGCAACGGAUCUCUUGGCUCUCGCAUCGAUGAAGAACGCAGCGAAUUGCGAUAAGUAAUGUGAAUUGCAGAUUUUCAGUGAAUCAUCGAAUCUUUGAACGCACCUUGCGCUCCUUGGUAUUCCGAGGAGCAUGCCUGUUUGAGUGUCAUUUAAUUCUCAACCAUCCCUCGAUUCGUUUCGAGGGUUUGGCUUGGAUUUUGGGGGCUGCCGGGCGACCCUAGGGUCUUCGGCUCUCCUUAAAAGCAUUAGCGAUGGCGGCGCGAUCUAACCCCCCCAUGCAUGAACGGCCUUCGACGUGAUAAUGAUCGUCGUGGCUGGAGUGUUGUUAGUGGGUGUCGUGAAAGUCGGCGCUUCUAAA
Molecule: ribosomal RNA, 609 nt
Filed under: Paxillus involutus
Lineage: Eukaryota; Fungi; Basidiomycota; Agaricomycetes; Boletales; Paxillaceae
Description: partial 5.8S ribosomal RNA
Rfam family: 5.8S ribosomal RNA (bases 245-399)
Source: RNAcentral